RNAcentral lists this unclassified non-coding RNA (378 nucleotides) under plant metagenome. Its description in RNAcentral is "partial contains 5.8S ribosomal RNA, internal transcribed spacer 2, and large subunit ribosomal RNA". The stretch from base 1 to 105 matches the Rfam family "5.8S ribosomal RNA", at positions 50 to 154 of the family's 154-position model. The record is from RNAcentral.
GAAAUGCGAUAAGUAAUGUGAAUUGCAGAAUUAAGUGAAUCAUCGAAUAUUUGAACGCACCUUGCGCUCCUUGGUAUUCCUUGGAGCAUGCCUGUUUGAGUAUCAUGAAAUCUUCAAAGUAAAUCUUUUGUUAACUCAAUUGGUUUCUACUUUGGUAUUGGAGGUCUUUGCAGCUUCACACCUGCUCCUCUUUGUUCAUUAGCUGGAUCUCAGUGUUAUGCUUGGUUCCACUCGGCGUGAUAAGUUAUCUAUCGCUGAGGACACUGUAAAAGGUGGCCAAGGUAAAUGCAGAUGAACCGCUUCUAAUAGUCCAUUGACUUGGACAAUACUUUUAUGAUCUGAUCUCAAAUCAGGUAGGACUACCCGCUGAACUUAAGC